This 498-nucleotide long non-coding RNA is filed under the name Mus pahari (shrew mouse). RNAcentral describes it as "lncRNA (MGP_PahariEiJ_G0004554.1)". The record is from RNAcentral. Lineage: Eukaryota; Metazoa; Chordata; Mammalia; Rodentia; Muridae.
GUGUUUGGAAUUGGAUCCAGUUGUAAGGAUUUACUCCGCUGUUUUUGCUACAAGAUUCAGCAGCUGUUCCGUGUGGGGGGGCCCGGUUCCUGCUGUUCCCAGGCACCUGCUGGCAGGACAAAGCACCUUUCCCCAGGUGUGGAGAGCCAUGCCUGUAAGGCCUGUGCCGGGUGGGGCUGCUGUUGAAAUGAGGUUGGGGGGGGUCCCCUCAGGAUGAUAGAAGAAUUGUCCUGAGUUGGAGGCCAGGGAGGCAGGCAGAAAAGAGAAGAGACGGGGGCAGGCUACAGAAUAAAAUUGUAAAUGUUACUCAAUUCUGAAAGAAUAGGUCAGAACAACCCCCCUUUUAAAAAACGUACUUUUAUAACAAGAUCAUCUAAGGGUGAACAGGAAUCCGAUGGUUUGCCUCUAAGGCUCACAAAGUAACCUGUAAAAAUAGUGACCAUUCAACUGUUUUAACUCAGUCUGUGCCAUCUACAGAAUUCCUUUAAAGCCAAAUAG